CAAAUCAAAUAUAGUUUCGUACUGUGUGGAUUUAAAUGUUAGCCACGUAAAUAAGUUAGUAAAUGUGUAGUUUUGUGCUACGGCCCGAUAAUAAACAAAUAUUACGGGUUAGCUAGAAUAGAUAUUUCGUUGUAACUAUUUUAUUAUUUAAUUAAUUACGAAAUAUUUAGAAAAUAAUUAGAAUAAUUAUUAAUUAAUUAAUUUAUUAUGUUAUGAUCUCAAAUAAUAUUUCAUAGUAGCGUUAAAUAAGCCAGGACCGAGACCAAACCGAGCCAAACGGAGAUUAUUUUAAAAAAAAAUAAUAUAUAAAAGAAAUAAAAGAAAUAAUAAAGCAAGUCGGUGCCCAAGUCUUGAACUUGGUGCCCACGUCCUGUACUUGGCAACCAAGUAAAGUAUAAUAAAAAAAAAAUAGAUUAAAGGGUAAUUAAAUGCUAAUGAUGAUUAGUAAUGGCUAUAAAAGCCAAGCAAGUUGUCAAUUGCCAUUUCCAUUUUUCCUGCAUAAAAGAAAAGAGAGAAAGUUAGGCAAACAGGAUAGUAAAUCAGUGAGCUAAUUUGGAACGGAGAAGUUUUGGACGUUUUAGAGCACUAUAAUAAAAGAAUUUAAUAUUGGAAAGGCGGAGCUGAUUUAUAAGUAUUAAAUUGAGGAAAUAUUUCAAGCUAAGGACCCGAGUAAAGAGUGAGUAUGGCGCAACUCAAGAGAACCGCCCGAAAACGGGUUUUGGCAAGGAAAAGGAAAAGACACAUCACAUGAGCUGAAGCUGCUAGGCAACGCUGUUUGGUGAUGCCAACUACAAUUAUUAUAAUAGUCUGUAAUCAGACUUACUAUUAUGUAAUAAAGUUAGACUUGGUAGUAGUGUUGUGGACGAUCGACCCUGGACUUGUGGGGCGAGAAUUGUACUUGUAUAAUAUUAAUAUAAUGCUAGUGUUGUUUUGA
Long non-coding RNA from Daucus carota subsp. sativus, 934 nucleotides. RefSeq lists it as uncharacterized. The transcript is spliced from 3 exons. The record is from RefSeq and is a predicted model, not a curated record. NCBI's taxonomy places the organism in Eukaryota, Viridiplantae, Streptophyta, Magnoliopsida, Apiales, Apiaceae.